GAUGAACGCUGGCGGCGUGCCUAAUACAUGCAAGUCGAGCGAACAGACGAGGAGCUUGCUCCUCUGACGUUAGCGGCGGACGGGUGAGCAACACGUGGAUAACCUACCUAUAAGACUGGGAUAACUUCGGGAAACCGGAGCUAAUACCGGAUAAUAUAUUGAACCGCAUGGUUCAAUAGUGAAAGACGGUUUUGCUGUCACUUAUAGAUGGAUCCGCGCCGCAUUAGCUAGUUGGUAAGGUAACGGCUUACCAAGGCGACGAUGCGUAGCCGACCUGAGAGGGUGAUCGGCCACACUGGAACUGAGACACGGUCCAGACUCCUACGGGAGGCAGCAGUAGGGAAUCUUCCGCAAUGGGCGAAAGCUUGACGGAGCAACGCCGCGUGAGUGAUGAAGGUCUUCGGAUCGUAAAACUCUGUUAUUAGGGAAGAACAAAUGUGUAAGUAACUAUGCACGUCUUGACGGUACCUAAUCAGAAAGCCACGGCUAACUACGUG
This 497-nucleotide ribosomal RNA is filed under the name uncultured bacterium. RNAcentral describes it as "partial 16S ribosomal RNA". It matches the Rfam family "Bacterial small subunit ribosomal RNA", at positions 28 to 507 of the family's 1533-position model. The record is from RNAcentral.